AAAAGCGGAGGAAAAGAAACUAACAAGGAUUCCCCUAGUAGCGGCGAGCGAAGCGGGAAGAGCUCAAAUUUAUAAUCUGGCACCUUCGGUGUCCGAGUUGUAAUCUCUAGAAGUGUUUUCCGCGUUGGACCGCACACAAGUCUGUUGGAAUACAGCGGCACAGUGGUGAUACCCCCGUACACGGUGCGGACGCCCAGCGCUUUGUGAUACACUUUCAAUGAGUCGAGUUGUUUGGGAAUGCAGCUCAAAUUGGGUGGUAAAUUCCAUCUAAAGCUAAAUAUUGGCGAGAGACCGAUAGCGAACAAGUACCGUGAGGGAAAGAUGAAAAGCACUUUGGAAAGAGAGUUAACAGUACGUGAAAUUGUUGGAAGGGAAACGCUUGAAGUCAGACUUGCUUGCCGGAGCUUGCUUCGGUUUGCAGGCCAGCAUCAGUUUUCCGGGGUGGAUAAUGGUGGUUUGAAGGUAGCAGCCUCGGCUGUGUUAUAGCUUUCCACUGGAUACAUCCUGGGGGACUGAGGAACGCAGCGUGCUUUUUGCGAAGGUUUCGACCUUCACGCUAGGAUGCUGGUAGCGGCCGGA
Molecule: ribosomal RNA, 579 nt
Filed under: Rhodotorula kratochvilovae
Lineage: Eukaryota; Fungi; Basidiomycota; Microbotryomycetes; Sporidiobolales; Sporidiobolaceae
Description: eukaryotic LSU rRNA
Rfam family: Eukaryotic large subunit ribosomal RNA
Source: RNAcentral